CGUCAAAUCAUCAUGCCCCUUAUGUCUUGGGCUACACACGUGCUACAAUGGCUGAAACAAAGUGACGCAAGCGCGCGAGCGUAAGCAAAUCACAAAAAAGCAGUCCCAGUUCGGAUUGCAGGCUGCAACCCGCCUGCAUGAAGUUGGAAUCGCUAGUAAUCGCGAAUCAGCAUGUCGCGGUGAAUACGUUCCCGGGCCUU
This 200-nucleotide ribosomal RNA is filed under the name uncultured prokaryote. Its description in RNAcentral is "partial 16S ribosomal RNA". It matches the Rfam family "Bacterial small subunit ribosomal RNA", at positions 1183 to 1382 of the family's 1533-position model. The record is from RNAcentral.